AGCCGUCGUCUGAGGUCCUCCAGCAGCGGGCUGGCGGCGAGGGCCUCCUCCUGGAUGUCCGUGCUCCUGCCGUCCCCGAAGAAGUCGCACGCGGGACGAGGUGGGAACCAAAGCUCCGCUCUACCUGGGAGUCCCUGGAGCCCCUGGGAAAUUCUCUCUCUGCAGCGGCGGAAGUCCCCGGGGCCCAUCGCGGAGACGCCUGGUCACUGCUCUACCGCUGCUGCUGAAAGAUGAGUUUCUAAGUUUGAUGUUUAGGGCGGGGUCAGGGCGGGGGCGGAGGUAAUUCAAGGACCCUUGCCAAGUGGGAUGCUGCAACUGCCCCGCCAUUCAGAGACGCUCCUUUGCUCCCAGUCCCAUCUUAGUCCUCCAUUAGCGACAGAGGAAGGAGGCGGUUCCCAUAACUCCAGGAGAAGUUUAAGCUGAGUCGCUUUUUUCUGCUGCUUGCAUUGAAAGGAAGUCUUUCUAAGGAGAAGGCUUGGUAACUGAGCAGUCAGCCUAUGUAAGUGGAAGUUGAGGUACAGGUGGAAGGUUUAUGACCAAAGGUUAGAAUAUUUCAACCCAAAGCCUUCCUGGUUGCCUUGAUCGUCUAAUACGUCAUUCCUUAAAAACAAUUUUUUUUCUUCCUACUCUGCCAGGCACUUUGCCAAGUUUGGGGAAUGCAAAGGCUUAAUUAGACCCCUCACCUUUC
Molecule: long non-coding RNA, 688 nt
Filed under: Homo sapiens (human)
Lineage: Eukaryota; Metazoa; Chordata; Mammalia; Primates; Hominidae
Description: non-protein coding lnc-RAD21-1:5
Source: RNAcentral